UUAUGAGCUGCAAUAUAGCGAAGAGCAGCUGAGGCUGAACAGGAGGCAGCUGAGGCUUCUGCAGCCGAGGCAGAGGACCUGCCUGUCGCGGACGAGGAGCCCGGACUGGCUCGAGCUGGGGCGGACUGCUGGUGCCUGUGCUCUCGCUGUGCGCCUACGGACACACGGACGUCUGACUGUAAAACAAUAUCGCCUAACAGCCUUUCUGGAAUGGGUCCUGCAAGGCGAGAGAUUGGGUCGAGGCCAUCGUGUCGUUUUACCCGCUUAUGUGGUGCAGGCUAUCCGACAGAAAUAUCCAGCUCCAGAUGGCCAGUACUGCGGGCACCAAGAAGUUGAGGACGCUCAGGAGGAACUAUAACUGUCAUUGUUAACAUAUUUCUUUUUGUUGUUGUUGAUAUAUUUCUGUAAAUAAAUGGUUUACAUUCA
Long non-coding RNA from Dicentrarchus labrax (European seabass), 426 nucleotides. RefSeq lists it as uncharacterized. The record is from RefSeq and is a predicted model, not a curated record. The transcript has 2 exons. NCBI's taxonomy places the organism in Eukaryota, Metazoa, Chordata, Actinopteri, Moronidae.